RNAcentral lists this ribosomal RNA (417 nucleotides) under uncultured bacterium. Its description in RNAcentral is "bacterial SSU rRNA". It matches the Rfam family "Bacterial small subunit ribosomal RNA", at positions 769 to 1184 of the family's 1533-position model. The record is from RNAcentral.
UUAACCGGAUUAGAUACCCUGGUAGUCCAUGCCGUAAACGUUGGGCACUAGGUGUGGGGGACAUUCCACGUUUUCCGCGCCGUAGCUAACGCAUUAAGUGCCCCGCCUGGGGAGUACGGCCGCAAGGCUAAAACUCAAAGAAAUUGACGGGGGCCCGCACAAGCGGCGGAGCAUGCGGAUUAAUUCGAUGCAACGCGAAGAACCUUACCAAGGCUUGACAUGAACCGGAAAGGCGUAGAAAUACGUCCCCCACUUGUGGUCGGUUUACAGGUGGUGCAUGGUUGUCGUCAGCUCGUGUCGUGAGAUGUUGGGUUAAGUCCCGCAACGAGCGCAACCCUCGUUCUAUGUUGCCAGCACGUGAUGGUGGGGACUCAUAGGAGACUGCCGGGGUCAACUCGGAGGAAGGUGGGGAUGACG